This is a long non-coding RNA of Amphimedon queenslandica, 350 nucleotides long. RefSeq lists it as uncharacterized. The transcript is spliced from 2 exons. The record is from RefSeq and is a predicted model, not a curated record. Lineage: Eukaryota; Metazoa; Porifera; Demospongiae; Haplosclerida; Niphatidae.
AGCUUUAACUGAACUGUAGUAGCAUCUAGUGCAGACUUUUUUCUACAGCGGAGUAUUCUACUAACUUAGACUCCUACAACUAUGUCUUUUAUCAUUUUUUUAUUUUGAAAUAUCAGUAUAAUCAUAGAUAGUACAGUACACAAACUAUGCAACCUUUAAUGCACACACUCCAUUUCUGCUGUAGGAAUAUGGACGUGGGCUGAUGAUAAUUUUGCAUUAAUUAUUAUAAUUAAUUUUUAUCACCCCCAAAAAUGGCGUCCAGUAGUAGCAAGAGUGCUCCUCCUCUUAUUCCUAAAUCACAUGAAGAUGGAGGGAAGAUAUCAUAUACUGCUUUUAAGAUGAAAGCUAAG